This 551-nucleotide ribosomal RNA is filed under the name Bacillus sp. (in: firmicutes). Its description in RNAcentral is "bacterial SSU rRNA". It matches the Rfam family "Bacterial small subunit ribosomal RNA", at positions 375 to 918 of the family's 1533-position model. The record is from RNAcentral. Lineage: Bacteria; Bacillati; Bacillota; Bacilli; Caryophanales; Bacillaceae.
ACGAAGUCUGACGGAGCACGCCGCGUGAGUGAUGAAGGCUUUCGGGUCGUAAAACUCUGUUGUUAGGGAAGAACAAGUGCUAGUUGAAUAAGCUGGCACCUUGACGGUACCUAACCAGAAAGCCACGGCUAACUACGUGCCAGCAGCCGCGGUAAUACGUAGGUGGCAAGCGUUAUCCGGAAUUAUUGGGCGUAAAGCGCGCGCAGGUGGUUUCUUAAGUCUGAUGUGAAAGCCCACGGCUCAACCGUGGAGGGUCAUUGGAAACUGGGAGACUUGAGUGCAGAAGAGGAAAGUGGAAUUCCAUGUGUAGCGGUGAAAUGCGUAGAGAUAUGGAGGAACACCAGUGGCGAAGGCGACUUUCUGGUCUGUAACUGACACUGAGGCGCGAAAGCGUGGGGAGCAAACAGGAUUAGAUACCCUGGUAGUCCACGCCGUAAACGAUGAGUGCUAAGUGUUAGAGGGUUUCCGCCCUUUAGUGCUGAAGUUAACGCAUUAAGCACUCCGCCUGGGGAGUACGGCCGCAAGGCUGAAACUCAAAUGAAUUGACGGGG